AUGCAUUUCAGCCUCCUCCGCUCUCUCCCUCUUUGCUCAUAAAGAUAUUUCGGCAUUCAAUCGACAUGUUCACCAAUCUAACCAGCUAUACCGAAACAAUUAAUAAACUACUGUAUUGGAUUAGUUGGUGCAACUCCCAUUCUAUAUUUGCAUAAAGCUACUGCAUCAACAUUUAGUUGUAGAUAGAGGACUAUGAGACGAGAGAAGCACAUCUGCCAAGUCCCAGACGUUGCAGGUGGUUUUGUGGGAUUGCAACUGGAUGAAAUUCAGUUCAGAUGGCUUUUCCAGCCAAAAGAAACUCUGAAUUAUUUAAUGACCUCGAUCGAGUUCGAAAAUGGGGUCCCUGCGGACAAGAUCAAGGUGACCCUGGCGUGAGGUCGAACACCAAAUUGGACCUUAGUUUUCAUAUACGGGGCAAUUUUACCACGAAGCGCCGUCAAUAUUUUUGAUCCCGACCAACCCAUGACCGUGAUGAUGAGGUUAAAUGUAAAAAAAAUACAUAUGUACCUGUCAAAUAUGAUGUCAUUUCAAAGGAAAUUUCAAUCGCAUUGACGCUACUUCUUUAUGUUUGGUUACAACAGUUUAUUUUUCAUCGUAAUGUUCGCAGGCGCAUGAAGCGGAAAGAGGAGGAUUGGGCAAUGAGAAUUGUGGUCUUUGUCUCUUGUUCUGCAUAGGUUUACUGAAUCUGAAUUAAGUUUCCAAAUUUACUUAUUACCUUCAGAAAUUGGGCUCUGUUGUGAUUUGCUAUGUCAUUAUUUAAAUUGCCUUAUUGUAACUUUUUCCAGUUUAUUAGUGAAUUUUUGCAAGGAAUCGAAACAGGAUUCAUCAAUCACUAACGGCUACGCCGGUGUUUCCUCUUAAAGAGGAAACGAAUUAAUUCAUCCUGAAAUCGAAAUGAUUCAAGACAGGAACCAAAAAUUGCAGGGCCCAGAAUGCUGUCAAGUGAAUAAGUGGGUUUAUUUAUCAAGGUUUGCGCUCACAAUUUCAUCGUGGUCAGAGUUCGACAUGUAGUUAUUUAUUAUAAUCAAAAUGUUAUUUGUUUGUAAUGCUAUUUUGAAAUUGAUAACAAAAAUUACUUUGCUAUUCGAGCAAAAAGGUAAUAUAAUGUAAGAAGUUUGUUAAAUACAAAUUGAAAAAUAUUAAAUAA
Folsomia candida is the source of this 1147-nucleotide long non-coding RNA. RefSeq lists it as uncharacterized. The record is from RefSeq and is a predicted model, not a curated record. The transcript has 2 exons. NCBI's taxonomy places the organism in Eukaryota, Metazoa, Arthropoda, Collembola, Entomobryomorpha, Isotomidae.